CAUUUAAUAUUCCUGGAUAAAUAUAAAUAUUGGACUUUGAUCGUUUUUUAAUUUUAAUAAUUAAUUAAUAUAUUUUAAUACUAAUAACGGGCGAGAAGCGUACGAAUUACGUAAAAUAAUAAUAUAUUUUUAAGACGUACGACGUAAUUCGUUGGGGUAAGUGUGUCGGGAAGGGCGAUUGGACGAUCGAUGGUGGCGAUUUUGUUUUCCUCCAAUAACGCGGUGAUAUUUACGGUAAACACGGACGAGAUCGGAGUGUGUUCGAGUGCUGCCAGUGACGAGAACGAAGAAGGCGGAUGUCCUCUCGAGUUCAACGGAGGUCGUUCCCUUUUUGUGGCCGAGGUUAGUUUGUCGACAGACAAAAGUCGUCUCGCUUCUUGUCAACGGAAAUCAUUCAGCACGCAGAAGAAAAGGAUGACUCCGAUAAUUAUGAUGUAGAAAUUGAUUUGGAUGAACUUCUCGACAUAGAGGCAGACGGUGCUAAAAAACAGUGGCUUCUGAAUAAGUUAGUUAAUGCAAAAGAUUCAAGAGCUGCAGUAGAAGUAAGUAUUAGACUUUCUUAAUAAAAUUAACAUUAAAAUUCAUCAUAAAAAUAUCAUUAGUUAUUAUUCUUUAUAAGUGCAAGCAAUAUAAAUUUCCAAUUUAAUAUCUUAACAAAUGCAUUUAAUUAGCUAAAAUAAAACUGAUGUUUUCUAUCGAGAUAAUCGAUAGUAAUUGGCAUUACCAUUGCGGAAUGGCAAUGCUCAGCAAUCUGAUUGCCUCCGGUUGCUAUAAAAUGGGAAAGAAAACACUGUCCAAACUACAGUAAACUCCCAUACAAUGUGCAACUACUACAUAUGCAAAAUUCAAAUUUUGUCGUUCAGAUGUAUGUGUCAUGCGUUUUAUGGGAGUUUACUGUAAUAUCAUAUUUUUCAAAACAUACAAUAUUGAUGAUUACAGUAUACUACUACAGAAUCUACAAAUGGAAAUUGGAGAUUAUAAAAGCUCAAUAACUCGGUGAAGUCGUUUGUUUAAGAAAUUACAAAUAUAUUGGCCUAAAGACAAUAAAAAUGUAUUUUAUUUUUUUUAAAAUGACAUCUUUGAAGCAACCUCCAUCUCUACACAGACGUUCCUCUGUACUCAAGUGCAUAUCAAAUAUUACACACUACAACAUUUCCAGUGGAGUUCUGAUUAUUUAUUUUCUAAUUUUGGCAAUAUUAUGUGAGAAGUUCAUGUACCCUUUGCUUUUCAAAUAUAUUUGCAAAAAGAACACGCUGUGACGAAUCGAGGGGGUCUUGUGGGCAAGAAACGUCACUGUUCUUGGAGAUAACAUGACAGAAAUGACCAUCUUAAAACAGUUAUAAACAUUCUGGCCACACAAGCCUUUUCCACAUCUCAUCAGAACCACAUCUGAUAUCUCAAAUGAGAGGAAAGCCAGUUGACUGCAAGGUGGCAUUUGGAGACCUGCGAACCACGUUUGCAAUACUUUCCGGGGGCACAUGCGGUUCUCGCCAAACCCAAAGGCACAUUUUUUUACUGCAGAAUCAAUUUCUUCAAAGUUCUUAAUCUGCAUUGUAACAGCAUGUCCAGACAGCACCGAUUCUUUUGAUGGACAUCAAACCAGCAGCAAAAUAACUGUCGAGAGACUACGUUGCAAUGAUUAUUUUUGCAGUAUGCCUUAACAACAAAUGCAUGCCACACGCUGGUCAGCCACUUUACAACUACCAAAUGCCAUUCUCUCAACGAUGCCACAAGCUGAUGAGCAAGCUUGUGCUACUCCACAAAUACCCAGCAAAAUCAACUUUAAAAGUCUCCCUUUUCUUUGCUUCACCCAGUAUGCAUACUUAAAUAAAAAUACUUAUGCGAGCAUACCAACAUUCAAAUAUAA
This 1867-nucleotide long non-coding RNA is filed under the name Centruroides sculpturatus (bark scorpion). Its description in RNAcentral is "uncharacterized LOC111634588". Lineage: Eukaryota; Metazoa; Arthropoda; Arachnida; Scorpiones; Buthidae. The record is from RNAcentral.